ACCCAAUCUGCAUUCAUUGUAAGUUGGAGAGGUCAUCACCCGAGGAGAAGAGGAGCGGGGAUCUUCUCCUCUUUUUUGUGUAUAAUUUGUAGGAUUUGGAGGCCGAUGAUAGUUUCGAAAUAAAGAUGGUAUCAAUAAAGGUACGAUUUUGACUUCGAGAAUCCACAUUCUCAAAGGUGUAGCCAUAUCUGCUGAAGUUCAAAUGGACCAACAAUAAGCAUAUGUUGGUUGACUCUGAUUUAUUUUUGGAUCUGAGAUUGACUUGUUACAAAGCCAAAUAUCGUGUAUUCUAGGUAAAUUUUCUGUUUUGAUUUCUUAGUACUCACUUCUCAGCUAUUGUUGGACCCUAUGCUGCAGCAAAAGUCCGAACUUUUUGGGUGAAGAUGACAGCAUCUUUACUCAUUCCUGUGUUAUCCUUCAAAUGAACUAUUUCUACUCCUGGUCAUCUCAUUUUAUAGGGGCUAGAUUCGUGAUUUUCUGUGGAAGCUGUCCUUGAUAAAUCCUAACCAUUGAUGUCUCUUAAGCAAGCAUAUCUAAUUGGUGGAACAACAUGCAAAGGUCGAAAAACUGUCCGAUCGCAGUAUUUCUUUAAGUACGUAAGUAUAUUUUGAUUUAUUUCCCAACAAUUUGCCUUACUAUUACCUUUAUUGCUUAUGGCUGUGCUUUCUUCAAUCAGAUUGGCUUUUUGAUCUGUUCUUGAUGUUCAACAAGCAUCAAUAGAGCUAGUCAUAUUUUAGAUUGGUAUACUAGAUUAAGUUAUUCAUGUGUUGCUGACCGGUUCUGACCAUAUCUUGAUUUGAAAGUACUGGUAGGUUGUGAGCUGGGAGGGAACCCUCUUGAGUCAUAUUCAGAUUUGCGAUGGAGCACGGGCAGGCAUACAAUGUGACGGAUAAUCGCCUUCUCAAAGAGUUGGUUCUUUUCUCUUCUUUGCGUGUCAGCUUCUCUAGCAAUAGGCGAGGAACUUCUGGAAGUGAAUUCAUAGGAUUUGGAGGCUGAUGAAAGUUUUGGGAUAAGGAUGCUAUAAAAAAAGGUAAUUUUUGGUCUUGCAUGGAUUCUGUCAUCCUUCAUUAUUCUCUAUUUUCCAUCUUUUCUUCAAGUAAUAGUGUGAAAAAAGACGAAGUGGCUUGCUUAGAGGCCAACUAGUGCUGGCGAUAACUUUAAGUUCCAUUUUUGCGCUUCAUUUAUGUAGGAGUUGCAGAAGCCGAGGUAGAAAUUUCUCUAGAGUUGGUAUUAACUAGGGUAAUCUCUUUGGACUUUCCCAUGAUGAUGUCCUUAGUCUUGGUAACAGUUAUCCAAUCAAUCAAUUAUUUAUUCUGGUCCUUUGUCUACUUUUAUUUUUCCUGAUCUUGCUACUUAUCUCUGUAUAUCUGGUGGUAAUUUGAUUCACUUGUAAACUUUUAUGCUUCAGAGGCCUGGAUCAUACUCUAUUGCUAUGUGGUGGUCUAUCGGUUGCUGCUGCAGGAAUUUCUAUACAAUAGUUUGAAUUUGAUUUUCCACUACAACUGUUCAUGAAAUACUCUUUCCUUAUAAACUUAUUACUAUUGUUUGACUACUAGAAUUAUUCCGAAUUUGUUAUUUAUAAGAUUCACUUCUAUUUAUUUGCCCCUUUUUCUUCAUAGCUAUUUAUUUGCCCCUUUUUCUUCCUAGCUAUUUCGUAGUAUUAUUUGCUAAUCAAAUUGGAAAGGGCGGAAAUAAAAUAUAAAAAUUUUAUGCUUUGCAAGUUGGAAGGUCCAUUGUUCUGCAGGCUACUGCUGCAGCCUAUUGGAGACUGGACAAGAUUUUUGGAUCGCUAUAUGCCUUUCCUCCUACUCAACUCUGUAUACCAUUUCUUUUCCUACUCUUCUGUUGGUUGAUUUGUUCAUUAAAUAUUGCACUUUAUUCUUUUAUUGACAGCUUUUGAAUUUAUAUGUUAAGGCCAUUUUCUCCAGAAGGUUGUGAUGAUUCUUGGACCCGGGUUUUGCUAUGAAAGGAAAGCGGCUAUUUUCUUGACGACGAGGCAAUCUUGGAUUUGGCAUUCUUGGCUGUUUGUGGGACUCCGUUUAAUUUGGUUCUGGUGGUUAUGUUCUAUAUUGUUUCGAUGUGCUCUCUCUCCCUCUUUUCAAUUGUUAAUGUUCUGGCUUGUGAAAUGAUCUCUGACAUGCUAAUUCAUGGGAAAUCCUAAACCAUUAAGCUUAAAAGGUUGCUAUUUAGGAUUUCUCCGGAGGCUUAUUUCGUUAAAUGCUAAGACUAGUUCUCUGGUUCUUCAUAUAAAGAGUUUGGAUUAUUUUAUUGCU
This is a non-coding RNA of Phoenix dactylifera (date palm), 2273 nucleotides long. The record is from RefSeq and is a predicted model, not a curated record. NCBI's taxonomy places the organism in Eukaryota, Viridiplantae, Streptophyta, Magnoliopsida, Arecales, Arecaceae.